GGGUGCAUGGUCUAGUGGUAUGAUUUUCGCUUCGCAUGUGAACGGUCCCCGGUUCGAUCCCGGGUGCAUCCA
Parathielavia hyrcaniae is the source of this 72-nucleotide non-coding RNA. NCBI's taxonomy places the organism in Eukaryota, Fungi, Ascomycota, Sordariomycetes, Sordariales, Chaetomiaceae. The record is from the annotation of a GenBank genome assembly.